This 297-nucleotide ribosomal RNA is filed under the name uncultured Sphingomonadaceae bacterium. RNAcentral's name for it is "partial 16S ribosomal RNA". It matches the Rfam family "Bacterial small subunit ribosomal RNA", at positions 111 to 425 of the family's 1533-position model. Lineage: Bacteria; Pseudomonadati; Pseudomonadota; Alphaproteobacteria; Sphingomonadales; Sphingomonadaceae. The record is from RNAcentral.
UAACGCGUGGGAAUCUGCCUAUCAGUGGGGAAUAACGACGGGAAACUGUCGCUAAUACCGCAUACGCCCUUCGGGGGAAAGAUUUAUCGCUGAUAGAUGAGCCCGCGUACGAUUAGCUAGUUGGUGAGGUAAUGGCUCACCAAGGCUACGAUCGUUAGGUGGUCUGAGAGGAUGAUCAGCCACACUGGGACUGAGACACGGCCCAGACUCCUACGGGAGGCAGCAGUGGGGAAUAUUGGACAAUGGGCGAAAGCCUGAUCCAGCAAUGCCGCGUGAGUGAUGAAGGCCUUAGGGUUG